AACGAACGCUGGCGGCGUGCUUAACACAUGCAAGUCGAACGCGAACGGGUUCUUCGGGACCUUAGUAGAGUGGCGCACGGGUGAGUAACGCGUAAGUUAUCUACCUCGGCAUCUGGAAUAACUCACCGAAAGGUGUGCUAAUACCGGAUACGUUGAGUAAUCAAGAAAGGUGGCCUCUGCAUAUGCUACCGUGCUGAGAUGAGCUUGCGUACCAUUAGCUAGUUGGUAGGGUAAUGGCCUACCAAGGCGACGAUGGUUAGCUGGUCUGAGAGGAUGAUCAGCCACACUGGAACUGAGACACGGUCCAGACUCCUACGGGUGGCUG
RNAcentral lists this ribosomal RNA (325 nucleotides) under uncultured Pseudomonadota bacterium. Its description in RNAcentral is "bacterial SSU rRNA". It matches the Rfam family "Bacterial small subunit ribosomal RNA", at positions 29 to 351 of the family's 1533-position model. The record is from RNAcentral. Lineage: Bacteria; Pseudomonadati; Pseudomonadota.